RNAcentral lists this transfer RNA (73 nucleotides) under Microcella sp. RNAcentral describes it as "tRNA-Val". It matches the Rfam family "tRNA". From Rfam's summary of the family: Transfer RNA (tRNA) molecules are approximately 80 nucleotides in length. The record is from RNAcentral. Lineage: Bacteria; Bacillati; Actinomycetota; Actinomycetes; Micrococcales; Microbacteriaceae.
GGGCUCUUAGCUCAGCUGGUAGAGCGCCUCGUUUACACCGAGGACGUCGGGGGUUCGAGUCCCUCAGGGCCCA